GUGAUUAUAUGUUAGGGAUUCUACUGGUCUGCAUUGAUUUUGAAAAGACAAUUGUUUAUUGUAUAGAGUAUUAGAGGUUCGUAUUUACUAGGUUGUGGAGUUAUCAAUGUCUAAUAUCACAUUAGAUUGAUGUUUCUUAUUUACUUGUCAAACUUUGCCUGAGUUGCGCUGCUAUGAAAGUUUUACUUAAAAAUUGAAGGUUAGAUCAUGUGUAUAGAAGAGAAUGACCAAAUGAACAUUGAAAGGUGGCAUGCAGGUUGGUUCUCUCAUAGACAGAAACAAGGGAGGUUCAUACCAUUGUUUAAAUAGGUAAUUGAAAUAUCUAUGUCUUUGGGGUUAAGUGAGAGUAAGAAUUAUGUUCUGCUGCUGCAAAAUCCAACUGCCCAAGUGAGAUGGGAGAGCUUUUGAUCACCGCAAGUGUUUGUGAAUAGAAUCAUACUGAUGUAGGACUGAGAGAUUCAGAAAUCUUCCUGGUAAUGCUUUAUGGUGGGCAAAAAUCUCU
This 502-nucleotide unclassified non-coding RNA is filed under the name Hevea brasiliensis (rubber tree). The record is from RNAcentral. Lineage: Eukaryota; Viridiplantae; Streptophyta; Magnoliopsida; Malpighiales; Euphorbiaceae.